RNAcentral lists this ribosomal RNA (256 nucleotides) under uncultured bacterium. Its description in RNAcentral is "partial 16S ribosomal RNA". It matches the Rfam family "Bacterial small subunit ribosomal RNA", at positions 524 to 776 of the family's 1533-position model. The record is from RNAcentral.
UACGUAGGGUGCGAGCGUUGUCCGGAAUUACUGGGCGUAAAGAGCUCGUAGGUGGUUUGUCGCGUUGUUCGUGAAAACUCACAGCUUAACUGUGGGCGUGCGGGCGAUACGGGCAGACUGGAGUACUGCAGGGGAGACUGGAAGUUCCUGGUGGUAGCGGUGAAAUGCGUAGAGAUCCGGAGGAACACCGAAAGCGAAGGCAGGGUCCUGGCCGGUACCUGAGCGCGUCGUGGGCGAAAGCUAGGGAGCGAACGGG